Molecule: ribosomal RNA, 450 nt
Filed under: uncultured organism
Description: partial 16S ribosomal RNA
Rfam family: Bacterial small subunit ribosomal RNA
Source: RNAcentral
ACGUACACUCCUGCGGGAGGCAGCAGUGGGGAAUAUUGGACAAUGGGCGCAAGCCUGAUCCAGCCAUGCCGCGUGAGUGAUGAAGGCCCUAGGGUUGUAAAGCUCUUUCACCGGAGAAGAUAAUGACGGUAUCCGGAGAAGAAGCCCCGGCUAACUUCGUGCCAGCAGCCGCGGUAAUACGAAGGGGGCUAGCGUUGUUCGGAAUUACUGGGCGUAAAGCGCACGUAGGCGGAUCGAUCAGUCAGGGGUGAAAUCCCAGGGCUCAACCCUGGAACUGCCUUUGAUACUGUCGAUCUGGAGUAUGGAAGAGGUGAGUGGAAUUCCGAGUGUAGAGGUGAAAUUCGUAGAUAUUCGGAGGAACACCAGUGGCGAAGGCGGCUCACUGGUCCAUUACUGACGCUGAGGUGCGAAAGCGUGGGGAGCAAACAGGAUUAGAAACCCUAGUAGUCC